GAUGAAGAACGUAGCGAAAUGCGAUAAGUAAUGUGAAUUGCAGAAUUCAGUGAAUCAUCGAAUCUUUGAACGCACAUUGCGCCCGCCAGUAUUCUGGCGGGCAUGCCUGUUCCAGCGUCAUUACAACCCUCAGGCCCCCGGGCCUGGCGUUGGGGAUCGGCAGAAGCCCCCUGUGGGCACACGCCGUCCCUCAAAUACAGUGGCGGUCCCGCCGCAGCUUCCAUUGCGUAGUAGCUAACACCUCGCAACUGGAGAGCGGCGCGGCCAUGCCGUAAAACACCCAACUUCUGAAUGUUGACCUCGAAUCAGGUAGGAAUACCCGCUGAACUUAAGCAUAUCAAUAAGCGGAGGA
This 352-nucleotide unclassified non-coding RNA is filed under the name soil metagenome. RNAcentral's name for it is "partial contains 5.8S ribosomal RNA, internal transcribed spacer 2, and large subunit ribosomal RNA". The stretch from base 1 to 120 matches the Rfam family "5.8S ribosomal RNA", at positions 35 to 154 of the family's 154-position model. The record is from RNAcentral.